CUGUGCCAGUGUGUCAGACACCAGAGGGAGAGAGAUGUAAAAUUAGGUCAGCGGCUCUGUAAACUGAUUAAAGCUCAUGCUUCACGCUUCCAAGGAAAACAGCCAAUACAAAAGGGAAUGAUCCCUGGCUCAAGAUGAGAAGGAAGGAGAGCUCUCUAUGUUCGUAGUCCAGCCAUAUAGGAUGCUUGGCCAAAAUGAAGGUAUAGAAAAGGAACAACCAAAGAAAGAACAGGACAUACUGGAUCUUUCUGGGUAUCAUCAAACUUCUCCAUCCAAGAAUAAGGGACAGCAGCAUCUCUUUGACAUCCAUAGCCCAUUUCUGCUUUGCCAAUAUCACUUGUGCAUCUGGGGCCACCAAUGCAUCCUAUCCUAGCAAGUAUCAAUGGGAAUAAAGAAGAAACUUAGAAAACGACAAAAUUCAAGAAGAGCUGAAGCUCUGGAGCUAGCUUUGGUGGAGAAAGAAUGAUGCGGGAUGUUGGACUAAGCGAGAAAUGCAUAAGAAGCUGGAAACCAGAAAGCAAGGAGACCCACUAACAUGGCCUACUCUGGUCGGCCUCUGGGCACAAAGGAGGGUGAAGAAAGGAUGGGAGCAGACAUGGAGGCACCAAUGGAAAGUACCAGAACACUUAAAAAAUUGAACUUUUAUGUUAUUACUCAAUGUUACUUUUAUAUUAUUAAUCAGUAUUUACUGAGCCCAACCCCUAUGAUAGUUCUACAAUGUAUUACUCUUAAAAUCUAAGCUAGACCUGAAAUCCUAUAUUCUGUUUUAAGCUAUUACCUCUCAAUAGGAAAAGAGAGGUGUUGAGUGUCACCUUAAUCCUUCCUGAGAUAAACAUUCAAAUCAAUCUCUCUACAGAUUGCCCAUAACCUUGUUCUUGUCUGUAUUAAUACAUUCCUGUUGUCUGUCUUUAUUUCUGUUUACACUAUGUAAAUGUUAUAGAAUCAUCAAACUUUAGAAAUAGAUUUGAGAUAACAGAUUAAAUUAGGGAUACCAACUACUCUUUCAUUCCACAGAUAUUUACUGAGCCUGGAUUUUAUCAUCCAUGCCAACUAUAAGUGAUGAGUAGUGGCGACCUACAGCAUUGCACUGAGAGAAACUGAAAGCUGUACUCAUACAAGCUAGGAAACUGACUAUUCCAGCUGAGGGAAAGGAAGAGUGAACCCACAUACCAGAAACCUACUUUAUCUCGCCAAACACAAAUAUGGGAUGCCUAGUUAAGUUUGAA
RNAcentral lists this long non-coding RNA (1226 nucleotides) under Homo sapiens (human). RNAcentral describes it as "HSALNT0386882". Lineage: Eukaryota; Metazoa; Chordata; Mammalia; Primates; Hominidae. The record is from RNAcentral.